CGUAUUCAGAGCCAUAUCAUGAGAAUUGGCACAUCCCAUUAAUGUGAUUUUGUAUUGUAAUUCUGUGUUGUGAACCACCCUGAGUCUAUGGAUGAAGGGCAGUACAGUAUACAAAUUUAGUAAACAAAAUAAAUAUGUAUGAUUGUUUACUGAAUGGUUUCCUGUCCCACCACAGGCAUCUUCAAUACAAUAUUCUCAGCAACGCUGAAUAAAUUAUUGCCAAUCUUCAACUGUAAAAGGUUAAAGGGGGGAGAGGCUCCAGAGGAGAAGGAGGAGUGGCAGCUGAAAAUGAUGGAUGCGCAGAGCCAGCAGCCCUGACCAGCAGGGCAGGAGAACAAGAAGGACGAGGGUAUGAAGAUGAAUGGAAAAUAUUUGUGGAUAUCAGGGAAACAAUUGUAGGCAAGUGAAAACGCUAGCAGGAUUGUUGUAAAUUCAACAGUAUAAUGUAGAUUAAGAUAUAAUGGAAAAGGGGAAACUAGAGGGAAGAAACAGAAUAUGCAGUUAAUCUUGGAAGUACAAGGAAGUCGUUGGAUGUAUUGUAUUAACCACCUGUUACCAUCAAGGAAAUCAAGUCACUAAUUGGAAAAGUAAGUCUAGGAAAGCACCUGGGGCUGACUUUAUUCCCCUGAACUUUUGAAGUGUAACAUCAAGUGGUGGGCCCCUCUGUUGGUGACUACACACACACACAAACACACACACACAAUCUGCAGGUUUUUACAGUAGUCAUGCUAAUGUCCUGAUCUUUUUGUAAUUUGUUUGCAAAUAUUCAAUAAACCAGUUCCAUUUUUUGAGAAAAAGUUUGUUGUCUUGAUUUCUUAUUCUCCCGAUAAGUUCCACCAUUUCUGCAUAUUACAUUAAUUUUUGCAACCAUUCUUCUCAUCAGGACUUACUAUUCUUUCCAUUUUGGGGAAAUAUUCUUGCGGCUGUAGUUGCAUACAUAAAUAAGUUUCUAUAUUGUUUAGGUAGCUCUGAUCCCAUUAUCCCCAAAAGAAAAGUUCAUUAUAUAUCAUUUCCCAGUAAGCUAAAGCCUUAUUACAAGACCACCACAUAUGGAAAAAGGUACCUUCUUUCUCUUUACAUUUCCAACACUUGUUGGAUUUUAAUUUAUACAUUUUUGCCAAUCUACUAGGUGCUAGUUACCAUCAAUAUAACAUUUUCAUAUAUUUUCUCUUAACACGCUGUAAAUUGCAUAUCCACAUGCCACAAUUGUUCCCAGGCCUCCAUUUCUAUGUUGUGACCAAUAUCGAUUGCCCAUGUAUCACUGAAGAUUUCACUUAUUCAUCUUUUGUCUCUCAUUCCAAUAACGUUAUACAUUUUAGACAUCACUUUAACAUUACCGUAAUACCUCCGCGAAUGUCUGCCUCGUCAAGUGGCCGUUCCAGCAAACAUCCGCGGCAAACUCGGAAGUACCAGAACGUGAUCACACAUGCACAGAAGCAUAAGCCGCUCUGCGUGUGUGCACAGAGCGUCCUUCUCGGCUCGCGGCCAGGGCUCCGGAACGGAUCCUGGUUGCAAAACAAGGUACCACUGUACAGUCUAACAGGUCUUUUUCGAGAUAUCUCCCCCAAAAAAACCCUCGUUUCAUAUCCUUUUUAAACACUUCAUUCAACUGAUUAUAUUGUAUCCAAGUUGUUAACAUUCCUGAUAAAUCCUUAAACACUUUUAAUUUGAAUUCUCCACUUUCCUCUCUUAACAAAUUUCUAUACGCUACAUAGUUUUCAUUUUUAAAUAAUAAUUUUCAUUAGUUUUAUUAAUUUACAAUUACAGUCCAAUAACAGCCUCAUUAUAACGAUACCAAUUUAUAAUACAAUUAUUAAUAUCAAUCAUUCAUAUUUUUUAAAGGAUAUUUAUUAAAAAUUUCAAAAUAUUACAAAAUGAAAAGAGAAAAAAGAAAAAAAUACAAAAUAAACGUAGUUAAAAACAACUCAAUCUUUCCAUUACUUAUCUUUCAUUGGCUUGUUUCCCGUACCUCCUUGCGCCUCCCUUUUUUGUAUUCCAAUUCAGUUUGUUAGUUCAGCAAAUCCUUCCCCUCUUUGUUUAUCCUAAUCUUUAAUCUUAAAAUAUUGUGACAUUGAAUUUUAACCUAUUAAUAAUCCUUUUUUCAUAUUCCCUUAUAAUAUUACAGCUAAAAACCACUUAAUUUCUAUCCAACAUCAUUCUAACAUUCAUUAAUUUUGCAAUGUUUCUGUAGAUAGUCUUUAAACUUUUUCCAAUCUUCUUCCACCGACUCUAAUAUCAAUAAUUCAAAUACCGAAUUAUAUAAUUUAAAUAAAGUGGGGGCCCACGUGCUAGAUUUGAUUAUUGAUUUGAUUAUUUUCUGUGUUCCAAAAUCUUGUUAAUCUCAAUUACAUUCCAGUCGUCAUCAUCGCCCCUCAUACAACAACUGCAACAUUAAUAACUUCUAUUCAGGUUGACACAUUAAGUGAUUUAUAAAACAAGUGAGGAACUCAAGCAUUAUCUUGUUCUUCCUGUGUGUGGCAAUUAUUUUGUCCGUGGUGUUUCUUCCUGUCCUUGUAAGAUAUUAUGUCUGUGUUUUCCCCGGUUGUUGCUGUUAUCCGUCAUGCCUUGGACAGAGCUGAUAUCCCAUUAUUGUUCCAGAAUUUUUUCUAUCGUCCCGUGCUUCGUUGUUUUGCAACUUUAACAGAAGCUUGGUUUUAUCUUUGAUAAUGUUAAGACCUACUAUUUCUCAAAAAAAUUAAAUCUCUUCUAAUGCUUUUGGAAUCAAUAUCACCACAUCAUCAGCAAAUACUUUUAGUUUAUAUUGUCUCUGUCCCCACCCUUAUUCCUUUAAUUUCUUGAUGACCUCUUAUUCUUUGCACCAAAACUUCUAAAACAAAUAAAAAUAAUAAAGUUGACAGCAGACAGCCUUCUCUAAUCCCUUUAGGUUUUUGGUUGGGUUUUUUUACCAUUCUCCGUAAACACAUUAUUUACUAUCAAUUUUGUUGACUGUUCAGUAUGUAUUGCCUUAACUCCUUUGAUAAAAGUGUCUCCACAACCCAUAUACAGUCGGGUUAAGAACUUAAUUCGUUCUGGAGGUUUGUUCUUAACCUGAAACUGUUCUUAACCUGAGGUACCACUUUAGCUAAUGGGGCCUCCCGCUGCCGCCAGAGCAUGAUUUCUGUUCUCAUCCUGAAGCAAAGUUCUUAACCUGAGGUACUAUUUCUGGGUGAGCGGAGUCUGUAACCUGAAGCGUCUGUAACCCAAGGUACCACUGUGUUCCAAAACUUUAAACAAAGUCCCAGGAGACUUUGUGAAAUGCUUUCGCUGCAUCUAAAAACAUUAAGGCUGCCUGCUUUUCAUUUCUCACUUCUGAAUAUUCUAUUACAUCAAUUACGUUCCUAAUGGUAUCUUUCCUUUGUCUUCCUGGAAGAAACCCUGCCUGAUGUUGAUGAAUCUUUUAAUACAGUUUUCAAUCUAUUAAUUAAUAUGCCUGCAAAAAGUUUAUAAUCAUUAUUCAACACAGAUAUAGGUCAAUAAUUCUUAAGCAACUCUGGGUCUCUGUCUUGCUUAGGAAUUAGUUAUACAUGCACACUUCCAGGAUUCUGGGAGCUUUCCUGUAUUUAAUAAUACCUUUUAAUGGUUGUAAUAGGUAAUCUUGUGACUUUUUAUAGUACGUUGCUGAAAGUCCAUCAGGUCCAGGUGCCUUCCCUGCUUUUACCCAUAAUAUUGCUUGCUGUAAUUCCAUCAUUGUCACCAGACCAUUCAGAAAUGUCGUUUUGUCUUUUGCUAUCUUAGGUAUUCCACUGUCUUCUAAAUAUUUCCCCAUUUCUUGUAUAUCACCUUGUUUAGCUCGAUAGAGUUCUGUAAAAUAGCUCACAAAUUGAUCUCUUAUUUCUUCCGGAUUUUCCACAACUCUUCCUCCUAUAUAUAUUUUGUUAAUACAAGUUUUUUCUUGUUUCUUCUUUAUUUGCCUAGCUAAUAGUUUUCCAGACUUAUUGGCCUGUUCCAAUUGUUUCUGUUUUAAAUAUUUAAUCCUCCACUCUAUUUCCUGAUUUACUAUCUUUGAAAACUGUGUUUGCAAUAUCUUUCACUGUCUCCUUUUUCGUUGGGAGUUUAUUGUUUUUCUUUUCUUUUCUUUUCAUUUCUUCUAAAAUGUCUUGUUUUUCUGUUCUUUUCUUUCUUUGGUAUGUGUUUUGCUGUAUGAAAAAGCCCUGCAUUGCCGCUUUACUCACAUCCCAAACAACCUUUAAAUCUGUCUCUUGAUUUAAAUUAAUUACUUCAAGUCUCUUAUAAAAAUAAGGUUUUUUUCCUCAUUUGGUGCACCCACACCAAUUAACAAUUUUUUUUUAUUCUUCCUUAUACAUCGUUAAAUAGUGGUUUCGGGGCCCAACUCUGGUUUUAAAUACAUUACAAUGCUGUUUUGUUUGUUAUGUCAGAGAUUACAAAGUCCUUUCCCAAUCUUUUGUUAAUCAGAAUUCUUCUAUGUUUCUUCGCAAUAUGUGUUUCUUGGAGGCUGAUCACAUCCAGAUUUAACUUCUUCACCACAUGUUUGAUCUUAUUUCUUUUAGUUUUACUAUUCACUCCAUUUACAUUCCAGGUUAAGAUUUUCAAUGCCAUCUUAUUCUUUAUUUUUCUUUCACCUUGACUUUUGUCGGGUCUUAUUCUUCCUGUCCUGCUUCCAGUCCAAAUGCCUUUUCUCCUUCUAGCUCUUUCCCACCCACAUAUUCUCCAUAAUUUGUCUGCUUCUGUAGGAUCCUGACACCUUUGUUUUCUCCCUUUAUAUGUAAAAUAUACUCCUUCUGUAUCAGAGCUGAGGGCUUCUCUCUUCACCACAAACACCAUGGGAGCCUCUCGACCUUUUUAUAGUCUUUAAUUACAGUAUUUACAACGGGUCAUUAGCACAUCGUUAUCAUCCAUCAGAGUCACUCAGUUCAGAUCUCUGCUGAGGCCUGCAUUUGCCCCUCCAACAGCUCAUAAAAUAACAAGGUUUCCCACCUCCUUUCAGCCCUCCUCUUUUCCACAUGCCUCGCAAGAGCCCCCAAUUCUGAGCUCGAGCUUAACCCUUGCGUUUCCUGUGAACUUCCCGGCUCCCUAGCCCUUCCUGCCUCCUGCUCUUGGCUUAUUCCCAUCGCUCUCUCCUCAUUAUCUCCCUCCCCCUCGGGCACCUCGUCCACUUCUUCUGCUCCCAGGCUCCCCGCUCCCUCUGGGGAACCUGAAACCCCUGGUUCGUCCCUGACAUUCUGGGUAUUCCCAAUGAAGAGGAUUUUAUUAUAUCUCAGUGCACCCGACAAAUAUAAUUUGCUCUUUUCUUUAGCAAUCUCAUUGAAAUUUAUUUCAAAAUCAUUAUUUUUUGGCCAUCAAUCUGGAGGUUCUUUUGGUAGUACAUUUGCAUUACUCUUUCUUUAACUCCUUUCAAGUUAAAAAUAACCAUACAAUCCCUCAGUUUUUUGUUUGCUUUUGCAUAUCUAGAUUUCACAUGGAAAAAUUUGUCCACUGCCGCACUGACCUCUUCUUCUAAUUCAAUCAGGUUAGCAAGUUCUUUUAUUAUUUUUUCACUUAUUUCUUCCAGCAAAUCCUCUAGAACGCUUCUUAAUCGAAAAGUGAAGUUUUUUUUAUUUAAUUCCAGAACCACCAUCACAUCGUGCCUGUUCAUUGCAUCAUGCCUCCAUGUCUUCUUUCAUCCUCUCUUGCUCCCUCUUAUUUUGACUUGUAGUUUCUUGGAAGAUUCCUCCAAAUAUGAAGUUUUGGCCUUUAAUGUCUGCACUGUUUUUCCAAUUCUAAUGUUUUAUGUGACAAAUCUUUAAUUUCUGUUAUACAGUGGUACCUCGGGUUAAGUACUUAAUUCGUUCCAGAGGUCCAUUCUUAACCUGAAACUGUUCUUAACCUGAAGCACCACUUUAGCUAAUGGGGCCUCCCGCUGCCUUUGUGCCGCCGGAGCACGAUUUCUGUUCUCAUCCUUAAGCAAAGUUCUUAACCCGAGGUACUAUUUCUGGGUUAGCGGAGUCUGUAACCUGAAGCAUAUGUAAGCUGAGGUACCACUGUAAAUUUGCAACUGCUGAGGUUUUCUGUUCCAGUCUCUGUAUACCUCUUUUCAUUUCUUUCCUAAUUUCUAAUAAAAUUGUCAUCAGGUCUGACUUUGUUUACCUUUCUGCGAUUGAACCUUUACUCUGACCUGGAGUAGUUGUUGGGCCUGAAGGUGGCUUUUUUGUUGUGUUAGCCAUAAUGUUAUGAGUUGAAUUAUUAAAGUUCAAAAUACAAAACUUAUCAUCAUCAUCAUUAUUGUCUUAAAUUUUCAAUUUCCAUAAAAUAAGAAUCAGUACUUGUGAUUUCCUCAAAAUUCCAACAGAUGGUCCUGUUGCUCCUCUCCUGGGAAGGUGCUUAAUGAAAAAUAACAAACGUAAAACAAACAAACAAAACAAAUCCCCGGUAAUUAUUUUUCCCACCAGUGUCGCUGUAUUUUUUGUCUAAACUAUCGCUCUUUCUGAUGUUUGGUUUUCUGUUCCCUGAACAAUUCCAAACUUGAACUUCAGGGUAUUAUUCUAAGCAAUGGGGCAAUAAUCUUUGCACAAGCAUGCUGAUAAUAGGGCAAGUGUAACAGAACAUGGUCUAUAGCAGAGGUUUUCAACCUUUUUGAGUCCACAGUUCUCUUGACCAACUACUCUUUCUGUGGCACCCCUAUGGGGCUCAGGAACCCGGUUAUGUCCCCUCCCCUCCCUCCCCCCGCCUGCAGAGUUGGCAUGGAGUAAAAUCUGCAGGGGCUGACAAAAGAAUAAACAAAUACCCGCUAACAGUCUUUUUAAUAAGCAUUCCAGUAAUAAUAAUAAUAAUUUUUUAUUUAUACCCCGCCCUCCCCAGCCAAGGCCGGGCUCAAGGCCGGGUUCAGUACAUGAACUGAGCUAAAAACGUGCAUCAAGGAAAUACUGGAUGCAUUAUUUUUAGACUUUAUAAGUACUCUCUGUCAGGAACGUCCUACACACGAGUAGGCAUCCGACAGAGACACAUGCCCGACUGGCAUGUUCUCUCCCUCCUGGUCCAUUGUUCGGGAGCUUCAAAAGCUUUCUAGAGCCCAAACAUCACAGCGACUGAUAUCAAGAAGCAUCAGCACACUUCAGGAUUCUGCAGAGUAUUGGCAGUUCGCGUGACAGACUCAGCAGCACAGCAUUUUGGCUAAACUACUUUAUUUCCAUGUAAUACACUCGGAGCAUUCUGACUCAGCUCCUUCCUCUUUCUCAUCAGACAGCAAAGAGAAAGAGACAAAGGAUAAUAGUUCCACAUUACAGAACACAGUAAUGCAAACAUCCUGUCUCCAUCACUUCCCACUAUGUGGAAUGAAAACAUACACUGUCAUGUGAGAAAAACAAUCCCAUGACUGCAAGCACAGGGCAAGAAUCCUAACACUCUCUGGCAAGUUUGCCAAACUGCAAAAGGACUUAAAUUAAACUGGACAUUGGGGAAGGUAAAGAGAAGAAAGCAGGACGUGGACUUUGUGGAUUGAUUGACAUUAAGAAACAUUUUUCUUUCUCUUGCUCCUUUUCAUCUUCUGAACCAAAAGAGGCAGGCACUGCAAGGGUGGAGUUAAAAAAACAAUAUUUAAUAUUGGGAAUUGUCUGAAAAUAUUUUUAGAACUAUCUAAAAAAAUGAAGUUUUUUUUGAGACUGACAGAAGCUGGAAAUGGUUUUGAAGCAGGGUAACGUUUUUCUUUUCUUUUUUAAAGGAGAAGGGGACGACAGAGGACGAGAUGGUGGGACGGUGUUCUCGAAGCUACGAACAUGAGUUUGACCAAACUGCGGGAGGCAGUGGAAGACAGGAGGGCCUGGCGUGCUCUGGUCCAUGGAGUCACGAAGAGGCGGACACGACUAAAUAACAACAACAUAUUUUUGCUUUAUAAUCUCCUGCUUUUAAAGUUUGUAUGUUUGAAUCAGACAGCCUGGUGGAUUAUUCUAAAUAUGGAUUAACGGCUUUUUGAAGAAUCUGAAGAAAGGAGGGAGGCUUAGUUGGUUAAAAGAUUUUAAAUUUCCCAAAAGUGGAUAAUAGGAGGGCUUUUCAAGAGGUUGAAGAAAACAAACGAUAAAUACUGUGGAUUGAUACUGUUUUAUCCCUGUCUUUAAAAUUUGUGUUUUUAGCUGAAGAAAAAAACGGGACUUUUAAAACUUCUUUCUGAGUAAAAGGUUGGAUUGCUACAACUUUCUAUAUCCGAUAAAACCUUAUGACUGUCAGGGUAAAGGAGGAAACAGAAAAACCAAACAACAGAAUGAUAGUAGAGACAAAAAAUACAGCGACACAGUGGGGUGGGGAAAAUAAUUACAGGGGGUUUUGUAUUUUUUUUUAAAAAAAGUUU
Podarcis lilfordi (Lilford's wall lizard) is the source of this 8278-nucleotide non-coding RNA. NCBI's taxonomy places the organism in Eukaryota, Metazoa, Chordata, Lepidosauria, Squamata, Lacertidae. The record is from the annotation of a GenBank genome assembly.